RNAcentral lists this ribosomal RNA (378 nucleotides) under uncultured bacterium. Its description in RNAcentral is "bacterial SSU rRNA". It matches the Rfam family "Bacterial small subunit ribosomal RNA", at positions 521 to 896 of the family's 1533-position model. The record is from RNAcentral.
UAAGACGUAGGGCGCGAGCGUUGUCCGGAUUUAUUGGGCGUAAAGAGCUCGUAGGCGGUGUGUCGCGUCGGCCGUGAAAACCUGCAGCUUAACUGUGGGCUUGCGGUCGAUACGGGCAUCACUGGAGUUCGGCAGGGGAGACUGGAAUUCCUGGUGUAGCGGUGAAAUGCGCAGAUAUCAGGAGGAACACCGGUGGCGAAGGCGGGUCUCUGGGCCGAUACUGACGCUGAGGAGCGAAAGCGUGGGGAGCGAACAGGAUUAGAUACCCUGGUAGUCCACGCUGUAAACGAUGGGCACUAGGUGCCGGGGGGAGCGACCCCUUCGGUGCCGCAGCUAACGCGUUAAGUGCCCCGCCUGGGGAGUACGGCCGCAAGGCUG